UUACUGUAUCACUCUAGGAUACAUUCACAAAAGGCAUGGACAUUGUUAUAACUUGAACUCUGCCAAAGUUAGACCAUUUUAAAGACACUAUUAAUGAAUAGGUGCACUAGUUUUGCCACCCCCUUACUGACACCCAAUGAGAAUAUUAUAAGUAUUAUGUUAACUUCUUAGGUAUUACACGGUAAUAACCACAGUAACAUAAUAACAACCAUUUAUUAAGCACUUCCUUUGUGUUGGGUAUUUUAUUAGGUGUUUUGCCAAGAUUAUUUUAUUUAAUCCUUCAAACAACCAGGUGAGAUGAGUAUAAUCAUGUGAUGAGGGAACUGAAAUUGAGAGAUGUAAACACUUUACACGAAUCUUAUGGCAUGGGAGUGGCCCUGCUGGGACUUGAGAGAAUGUGUGUUCUGUCAGCAGCUAAGAGCACAGAUCUGGGUGCUGAUCAAGACCCCGAAGCAGGCCUGAGAAAACGCAGAACUGAGAAUGUAAACUUCACGAAGGAAAAUUUUGUUCACUGCUGUGUGCCUAGAAAGGACAGUUCCAGACACUGAGAGAAAGAUAAAUAAAUAUUUGUGGAGUGAAUGAAAAAUUGAAUGAAAAGAUGACUGCCAGACCUCUGAGCACGAGCUGUUCCUGACAUCGUUUCUGUCAAUUUCCUAGAGACCCAGGAUCCAGUCACGAGUCCCUCAUGGGGCUGGAUCAGGAGACAUCACCAUGCAUUUGUCAGAGUCCAUUAUGCCCCCUGCUGAAGAAGGCUGUGAUCUUCAGUCGACCUCUUUGUGUCCACUGUCCUCUUCACUUCCAGUGAACGUAUCCCGGAUGAUCCUCAGUCUGUCUUGCAAAUAGACUUGGACAUGUCCCUUCAGAUCGGCAGACAGGCCUGACUCCAGCAGUGUGUUGGGCUUGAGCUCAAAGCUGGGACACAAACGAUGCUUAUAUUGAGCUGAAAACAAUCACUCUGCAUUUAUUACCCCAAAGCCCUUCUUAUACUCCCCAGGACUACACAGAACAAGCAUAAUUCCCUUCUAACAUGUCCACCUAACAAGACUGAAGCCAGCUCUCUUUUCCUGCUCCCCUUAAAACUAUUUUCUAGGUAAAGCACGCUCAGGACUUUCUACCAUUCUUCAGAUGACACGUUUCAUGUUUUUUCAUCGUUUGGGCCCCUUUCCUCUUAAUAUGCUCUGGCCUGUCUGUGACCUUCUAAACAUGUGAGGUCAAAGAGACUAUCUGCCUGGCCAGGAAAGAUUGGAGUAGACUAUCACCUCUUUUAUUCUGCCUACUAUGCAUUUUGUGGUAGUAUAACACACGAUUCUUUAAUAUUGGAUUUACUGUUAAGCCAUAGCUCUACAAAUAACUGAGAAGAAGUUCAGAAUUGAGAAGUCAUUAUUUAAUAAUCAAAGAUGUGAUGAAAAAUAACCAUACUGAUUUUGGUAUGUACCUUUUUAAAAUAAUGUAAUUUCUUAACUAUAUCUAGUUACAUCCUUGAAGAUGUAAGUGUUAACGAGAAACACUAACAAAAACCAGGAAAAAAGGGAAAGGGUCGGAAAAGCUAAGUUAUGUAACUUCUGGACAUCCUAAAAUUUAAACAUGUGUUCUUGAAUUUUUCUCAGCACAAAUGAUAAACUAGUGUGUCUAUUGGCUGAACCCAACCAGGGUCAGAGAGCAAGGGGGUCUGUUGAUGCUCUCCAUACAGGCCAGCAUUUCUGGACACAAAGUGGAGUGCAGAGAAGUUCUUCAGGGGCAAACAGUGCAUAUCCAGCAUACCGUAGACAAGGGUCACAAAAGAAGGAAAUGGGAGGACGGUAGACUUUUACCUCAUGUAGCCUGACUCUGAGAAUUCAAGAAUUAAAUUGUUGCUCAUUAAUUUCAUAUUUCAGCCAUACUAAGUAGCAUUAUUCUUAGGGGUCUUUGCACCUGAAGAGCAAAGGUUAAGAGUGCAGUUUUGGAAUUAGUUUGACCUGGGUUUAAAUUCUGGCUCCAUUCUGUAGAUUAUAUUUCUUUGACAAAAUUAUUAAUGUCUUUUAAUCCUGUAGUUCUUCACCCAAGAAGAGUGUCUGCCUCGUUGUUUAUUGGAGUCUUAAAUGAGAUGUCUCCAGUGAAGAUGGCUGGACUUUGGAGAGGUGCGGCAGCAGAGAUCCUUGGAGCAUCUGCCUGAAUUGACAAUGGAUAUAGAACAACCUACACAGACUUGCAGAACGUCUAUGUCCAAUCAUUGGGACCAUUAAAAAUACUUAGAGAGAGGAUCCUGUAAAAGAUUGAACAUCAUGUUCAAGUGGAAUGAGAGACUUUGGUUACUGUUAUUUGGGGAAGUAAAGGGAAGACCCGUGAACACUGGAGUCUUUGUAAUGUGCUUAAUAAAAGGACAGAAAAAAUGAUUCACCUCAGGAGUACAAAACAACCAUUUCCAAAAUUAUUAAUCUCACCAUUUAGUUUCAUUUGGCAACCUCAGAAUGCUCAAUGCAAUACUUGAGUUGUAGCAGGUGUUUCUGUAAGUGAGCUUUUUAUAGAAUCAUGAAAUAACAAUGCUUUACUCCCUUAAUGGGUUCAAGUUCUGGGUGGAGAUAACGAGUCGAUGUUUGAUAGUUACCAGGGCCAAGUGCAGAUCAAGAAUUGCCUUAAAAAAUACAAUUCAGUAGGAAAAAGGAAAUGUUUAAUUUUCAAAUGUCUUUUAAAUUGGAAAAUAAGCUUUUCAGUUAAAAGAAAUAUAAGCACUUUGGUGAAUCCUACAGCAAUUUUUGGUACUAAUCCUUUCUUAUUGUAGACAUUUUCAAGCAUUAGUGCCGAAUGUUUCCAUUCUUCAGGCUGCACUAAUGAAGACUUCUAGGUAAGAGUCUUAGAGCACUGUGGGUUUAUGAGUAAGAAACAAUGAAAAAAAAGAAAACUCAAAAUAGUGGUUUUCAAUUUUAUUUUAAAUUAAAUGAAUUGUUUUUAAUUAAGUGACUUUUAGAACCAGUAGUCUCCUUUUUAAUCUGAUUUCCAAGGUAUUCAUGUUAAUUGAACCAGGUCAUUAUUUUCAAAUGUUUCUUAAAAAUUACUUUUUCUCAUAGAACAGAUGAAUAUUUUUUCUAAAAUGAUAAUAUAAUUUAUACUGACAACUACUCAGAAAAUCUGGCUAUAGAUUCUGUUCUUGGAUUGUCUAUUGAUCAGUCAGUUUUUGGAAAAAAACAUUUUAUUACUAUUUUUGUCUUAGAGGCCUCAUCAUCUAAACUGAACUUUAAAUCUUCCUUACAACAUAAAUUAUUUGAACUGAUUGGAGGCUGAUGUUGUUACGUUAAAAUUUAGAUUUUGGCAAAUCUCCUACAGUUUAGAAAUCUGAUAGGGAAAGCUUUGGCAGGCUGGCUUACAGCUUUAACUUAUAAGCGAUAACUGUGAGGGUCCUUGCUAAGCUCUGGAGGAAGUUUCAGUUGCUUUUUGUCUGUUAGGACAUAUAAGUUGCUGAUCUAUAAGUUAUUCUAAAGCAAUGCCUAUUGUCCUGGAAGUCUUGGGUUUUGAUAAUAUUUUGACUUCUUGAAGUACAGCUAGUUGGUCUGUUUAUUAAUUUCCUAAUUGGUGUUUAAAGGAUUCAUUAAAAAAAUGCCCUGGUCAUUUGACAAAUUAAUGAGCUAAUUUCAGACAGAGAUAAAAUAAUGAUGAUAAUAAUCAGGAUGAUGAGAUGUAAGCGACUGGGUGGCCCCUUCCGAUGGAGUCUUUGUGAAAGACUUCUCUGAGACGGGACCUUGGAGCUGAGCAUGGAUGGAAACAUGAGGUGGCCUGGCAGAGAAGGAGCUGGAGGAGGAGCAGUGCAGGGACAAGGAAACAGGCAAGACAGAGGCCCUGGGGUGGGAAGAAGCUUCCGGUGCUUGAGGGAUAACAAAGAGGCAAGUGGAAGUGCAAUGGCUGAAGGGACGAGAAGUCUCAGGAGAGCCAGGAGAGAGAUUGAGGUUCAGACUGCGUGAGCCUUGCUGCAAGGAGUUCUGGUUAUGAACGUGAAAUUACGCCUAAGAUACGGUAGAGUGAAAAAACAUUGUUUCAAACAGCCUUAGUGGAAAGACGCCCUUCGUGUCAAACUGGAUACUCAUUUCCAUAUGUAUCAAUAAGCACAGAGAUAGUUUGGGGUGUGUGUUCAGCAAAACGCUAACACUGGAAAUCACUGGGUGCGGGACCUCAAGUGAUACUUGUUCUCCUUUUUGUAUUUUUCUGUAUUGCUUGAAUUGUUUACAAAAAACAACAGAGACAUAUCAAAUAUGCAUUUCUGAAGAAAGAGCUGUGGUCCUUUUCAGCUAAGAUUUGAUAUUAAGACAACAUUGACAUUAUUGUGGCUUCCAAACUCAUGAGAAGUGGGAAGAAGAGAGACUGAUGAAGAAGAGUUUAUUGACUUUCAUUAAGAAAUAUAGAAAUAAAGUGACACUCAUUUU
Non-coding RNA from Equus caballus (horse), 4391 nucleotides. The record is from RefSeq and is a predicted model, not a curated record. NCBI's taxonomy places the organism in Eukaryota, Metazoa, Chordata, Mammalia, Perissodactyla, Equidae.